This 274-nucleotide ribosomal RNA is filed under the name uncultured bacterium. Its description in RNAcentral is "partial 16S ribosomal RNA". It matches the Rfam family "Bacterial small subunit ribosomal RNA", at positions 523 to 796 of the family's 1533-position model. The record is from RNAcentral.
AUACGGGGGGUGCAAGCGUUAAUCGGAAUUACUGGGCGUAAAGCGCGCGUAGGCGGUUAAAUAAGUUGGAUGUGAAAUCCCCGGGCUCAACCUGGGAACUGCAUUCAAAACUGUUUAACUAGAGUAUGGUAGAGGGAAGUGGAAUUCCAGGUGUAGCGGUGAAAUGCGUAGAUAUCUGGAGGAACAUCAGUGGCGAAGGCGACUUCCUGGAUCAAUACUGACGCUGAGGUGCGAAAGCGUGGGGAGCAAACAGGAUUAGAAACCCUGGUAGUCC